AGGACGAACGCUGGCGGCGUGCUUAACACAUGCAAGUCGAGCGGAAAGGCCCUUCGGGGUACUCGAGCGGCGAACGGGUGAGUAACACGUGAGCAACCUGCCCUUAGCUCCGGGAUAGCUCCGGGAAACCGGAAUUAAUACCGGAUACGACCACGGCCGACAUCUGCUGUGGUGGAAAGGGUUCCGGCUAAGGAUGGGCUCGCGGCCUAUCAGCUAGUUGGUGGAGUAACGGCCCACCAAGGCGACGACGGGUA
RNAcentral lists this ribosomal RNA (254 nucleotides) under uncultured bacterium. Its description in RNAcentral is "partial small subunit ribosomal RNA". It matches the Rfam family "Bacterial small subunit ribosomal RNA", at positions 26 to 285 of the family's 1533-position model. The record is from RNAcentral.